RNAcentral lists this ribosomal RNA (564 nucleotides) under uncultured archaeon. Its description in RNAcentral is "bacterial SSU rRNA". It matches the Rfam family "Archaeal small subunit ribosomal RNA", at positions 325 to 849 of the family's 1478-position model. The record is from RNAcentral.
ACGGGGUGCAGCAGGCGCGAAAACUUCACACUGCGAGAAAUCGCGAUGAGGGAAUUCCAAGUGUCAGUACACUGUGCUGGCUUUUCACCUGCCUAAAAAGCUGGUGGAAUAAGGGCUGGGUAAGACGGGUGCCAGCCGCCGCGGUAAUACCCGCAGCCCGAGUGGUGGUCGUGAUUAUUGAGCCUACAGCGUCCGCAGUCGGCCCGAUAAAUCUCUGGGGAAAUCGGGCGGCUUAACCGUCCGAAUUCCAGAGAGACUGCCGGGCUUGGGACCGGGGGAGGUCGGAGGUACUCCCGGGGUAGGGGUGAAAUCCUGUAAUCCUGGGAGGACCACCAGUGGCGAAGGCGUCCGACUAAAACGGAUCCGACGAUCAGGGACGAAGCCCUGGGGCGCAAUCUUGGGUGCAAGGCCAAAAUAAACCUUGCACCGCGAGGCGUAAACGGGAUUAGAUACCCCGGUAGUCCAGGGUGUAAACGCUACAGGCUUGGUGUUGGGGAUCCUACGAGGAUGCCCAGUGCCGGAGAGAAGUUGUUAAGCCUGUCGCUUGGGAGUACGCCGCAAGGC